RNAcentral lists this ribosomal RNA (393 nucleotides) under Rhizosolenia sp. RNAcentral describes it as "partial small subunit ribosomal RNA". It matches the Rfam family "Eukaryotic small subunit ribosomal RNA", at positions 582 to 975 of the family's 1831-position model. The record is from RNAcentral. Lineage: Eukaryota; Bacillariophyta; Coscinodiscophyceae; Rhizosoleniales; Rhizosoleniaceae.
AUUCCAGCUCCAAUAGUGUAUAUUAAAGUUGUUGCAGUUAAAAAGCUCGUAGUUGGAUUUCUGGCGGGAGCGAUCGGUCCUUCACUCAGUGUUGGAACCUGAUUGUCUCCUGCCAUCCAUGGAGAAAACUUAUCUGGCAUUAAGUUGUCGGGUAGGCAAUCUCCAUCUUUUACUGUGAAAAAAUUAGAGUGUUCAAAGCAGGCUUAUGCCGUUGAAUAUAUUAGCAUGGAAUAAUAGAAUAGGAAGUCGUUUCUAUUUUGUUGGUUUUCGGAAAUCGACUUAAUGAUUAAUAGGGACAGUCGGGGGCAUUUGUAUUCAAACGACAGAGGUGAAAUUCUUGGACCGUUUGAAGGCAAACUACUGCGAAAGCAUUUGCCAAGAAUGUUUUCAUCA